GUGAACAUUACAAGCAAAGAGAGAAUUCGGGAGGUCGUUGAAGUCAAUUAUUUCAUGAAAAUCUUCUUCUGUAAAACAUCUCUUUAAAUCGCUGUCUCCGUUUAUAGAGUAGAGUAAGAACUGUCCUCCAUCCUCUGGGAUGCAGCCAUAGUGCCCGAGGCCUCGCAUUCCAAACAAGUAGGAGUCUCCCCUCAUCCCUGCUGCGGCUGCCUCGGCCUCCCCGCCGCUGCCGCCCCGUCGCCGCCGCCGAGCUCCGGCCGAGCGCCCCGCUCCUGCUGGCUGCCCG
Molecule: long non-coding RNA, 286 nt
Filed under: Gallus gallus (chicken)
Lineage: Eukaryota; Metazoa; Chordata; Aves; Galliformes; Phasianidae
Source: RNAcentral